RNAcentral lists this ribosomal RNA (764 nucleotides) under fungal endophyte. Its description in RNAcentral is "eukaryotic LSU rRNA". The stretch from base 476 to 764 matches the Rfam family "Eukaryotic large subunit ribosomal RNA", at positions 1 to 289 of the family's 3401-position model. Lineage: Eukaryota; Fungi. The record is from RNAcentral.
CAUUAUAGAGUACCUUACUCACUACCCUUUGUGAACUAUUAUACCUGUUGCCUCGGCGGCGCCCCCUGUGGGCGCCCGCCGGUCUACUAGAAUCUCUGUUUUCGAACCCGACGAUACUUCUGAGUGUUCUUAGCGAACUGUCAAAACUUUUAACAACGGAUCUCUUGGCUCCAGCAUCGAUGAAGAACGCAGCGAAACGCGAUAUGUAAUGUGAAUUGCAGAAUUCAGUGAAUCAUCGAAUCUUUGAACGCACAUGGCGCCUUCCAGUAUCCUGGGAGGCAUGCCUGUCCGAGCGUCGUUUCAACCCUCGAGCCCUCGUGGCCCGGCGUUGGGGAUCUGCCACGGCAGGCCCCGAAAUACAGUGGCGGACCCGUUAGGCCCUUCCUUUGCGUAGUAGCAUUAGCCUCGCAUUGGGAGCCGACGGGCUCUCCUGCCUCUAAACCCCCCAACAAGCCCGCUCCGGCGGCACCAAGGUUGACCUCGGAUCAGGUAGGAAUACCCGCUGAACUUAAGCAUAUCAAUAAGCGGAGGAAAAGAAACCAACAGGGAUUGCCUCAGUAACGGCGAGUGAAGCGGCAACAGCUCAAAUUUGAAAUCUGGCUCCUUCGGGGCCCGAGUUGUAAUUUGCAGAGGAUGCGUCGGGUACGGGUGCCUUCCGAGUUCCCUGGAACGGGACGCCAUAGAGGGUGAGAGCCCCGUCUGGUAGGACACCCAGCCCGUGUGACGCUCCCUCGACGAGUCGAGUAGUUUGGGAAUGCUGCUCU